AUGGCGGCAGCGACCGGAGGCGGCGGCAGCAGUGAGGAGGCGCUGACGCUGCUGGGGUUCUGGACGAGCCCGUUCGCGCUGCGGGCGCGGUUCGCGCUGAACCUCAAGGGCAUCCCCUACGAGUACGUGGAGGAGGACCUGUUCGGCGAGCGGGGCAAGAGCCCGCUCCUCGUCGCCUCCAACCCGGCCCACGGCGGGAAGGUGCCCGUGCUCAUCCACGGCGGCCGCCCCGUCGCCGAGUCGCUGGUCAUCCUGGAGUACAUCGACGAGGCGUUCCCGGAGCGCCUCCCGCGCCUCCUGCCCCCGCCCGACGACCCGCACGGCCGCGCCGCCGCCCGGUUCUGGGCGGCCUACGUCGACCAGAAGCUGCUCCCGACGUGGGCCCCGCUCUACGGCGGGAGGACGGCCGAGGAGCGGGCGGGCGCGGCGAGGGAGGUCGUCGCCGUGCUGGAGGCGUUCGAGGGGGAGCUCGGGGACAGGGGCUUCUUCGGCGGGGACGGCGUGGGGCUGGUGGACGUGGCGCUCGGCGGGUUCCUCGGGUGGCUGCGCGCGUCGCAGGCCAUGUGCGGCGUGCGGACCAUCGACCCCGCCAGGACGCCGCGGCUGGCGGCGUGGGCGGAGCGGUUCGGCGCGCUGGACGGCGUGAGGGAGAUCGUGCCGGACGCGGCGCCGCUGGUGGAGUACAACCUCAUGAAGCGGGCUCGCCUAGGCCUGCCGUAUCUGCCGCCGCAUCAGUCGCAGUAA
This 744-nucleotide ribosomal RNA is filed under the name Triticum aestivum (bread wheat). RNAcentral describes it as "partial small subunit ribosomal RNA". The record is from RNAcentral. Lineage: Eukaryota; Viridiplantae; Streptophyta; Magnoliopsida; Poales; Poaceae.